UACGUAGGGGGCAAGCGUUGUCCGGAUUUAUUGGGCGUAAAGAGCGUGUAGGCGGUCUGGUAGGUCCGUUGUGAAAACUCGAGGCUCAACCUCGAGACGCCGAUGGAAACCCUCAGACUAGAGUCCGGAAGAGGAGAGUGGAAUUCCGGGUGGAGCGGUGAAAUGCGUAGAGAUCCGGAGGAACACCGACGGCGUAGGCAGCGCCCUAGACGAGACCUGACGCUCAGGCACGAAAGCGUGGGGAUCAAACAGG
Molecule: ribosomal RNA, 253 nt
Filed under: uncultured bacterium
Lineage: Bacteria
Description: partial 16S ribosomal RNA
Rfam family: Bacterial small subunit ribosomal RNA
Source: RNAcentral